This 433-nucleotide ribosomal RNA is filed under the name uncultured bacterium. RNAcentral describes it as "partial 16S ribosomal RNA". It matches the Rfam family "Bacterial small subunit ribosomal RNA", at positions 29 to 507 of the family's 1533-position model. The record is from RNAcentral.
AACGAACGCUGGCGGCAUGCCUAACACAUGCAAGUCGAACGAGACCUUCGGGUCUAGUGGCGCACGGGUGCGUAACGCGUGGGAACCUGCCUUUAGGUUCGGAAUAACUCAGAGAAAUUUGAGCUAAUACCGGAUGAUGUCUUCGGACCAAAGAUUUAUCGCCUUUAGAUGGGCCCGCGUUGGAUUAGCUAGUUGGUGGGGUAAAGGCCUACCAAGGCGACGAUCCAUAGCUGGUCUGAGAGGAUGAUCAGCCACACUGGGACUGAGACACGGCCCAGACUCCUACGGGAGGCAGCAGUGAGGAAUAUUGGACAAUGGGCGAAAGCCUGAUCCAGCAAUGCCGCGUGAGUGAUGAAGGCCUUAGGGUUGUAAAGCUCUUUUACCCGAGAUGAUAAUGACAGUAUCGGGAGAAUAAGCGCCGGCUAACUCCGUG